This 454-nucleotide ribosomal RNA is filed under the name uncultured bacterium. RNAcentral describes it as "bacterial SSU rRNA". It matches the Rfam family "Bacterial small subunit ribosomal RNA", at positions 30 to 506 of the family's 1533-position model. The record is from RNAcentral.
AUGAACGCUAACAAUAUGCUUUACACAUGCGAGUCUAAUAGACCAUUGUUUUUAUGAUUAUGGUUUGUGGCGUACGGGUGAGUAAUAUAUAAGAAUUUGCUUUUAAGUUACGGGAUAAAUUUUUAAUACCGAAUAUAAAGGCUUACAGCCGCUUAAAAAUAAGCUUAUAAAAGAUUAGGUAGUUGGUGUGGGUAAAAGCCUACCAAGCCGAGGAUCUUUAACUGUUCUGAAAGGAAAUACAGUCACACUGGGACUGAGAAUGGCCCAGGCUUUAUAAGCCAGCAGUGGGGAAUCUUGGACAAUGAGCGAAAGCUUGAUCUAGCAAUAUUGCGUAAACUGUGAGUGGUAAUUACGGUUUGUUGGUGUUUUAACAAAUAUUAACAAACUAACCGUUAAGUUUUUUCGUUAACUAAGAUAAUGACCUAGUUAAAGAAGAAGUCCCGGCUAACUUCGU